UACGGGGGGCGCAAGCGUUAUUCGGAAUUAUUGGGCGUAAAGGGCGCGUAGGCGGUCUUAUCGGUCAGAUGUGAAAGCCCGGGGCUCAACCCUGGAAGUGCAUUUGAAACAGUAAGACUUGAGUACGGGAGAGGAAAGCGGAAUUCCUGGUGUAGAGGUGAAAUUCGUAGAUAUCAGGAGGAACACCGAUGGCGAAGGCAGCUUUCUGGACCGAUACUGACGCUGAUGCGCGAAGGCGUGGGUAGCGAACAGGAUUAGAUACCCUGGUAGUCCACGCAGUAAACGAUGUUCACUAGGUGUAGCGGAUAUUAAAAUCUGCUGUGCCCAAGCUAACGCAUUAAGUGAACCGCCUGGGGAGUACGGUCGCAAGACUAAA
This 376-nucleotide ribosomal RNA is filed under the name uncultured bacterium. Its description in RNAcentral is "bacterial SSU rRNA". It matches the Rfam family "Bacterial small subunit ribosomal RNA", at positions 524 to 898 of the family's 1533-position model. The record is from RNAcentral.